GAACGGCAGCAUGGUUUGUAGCAAUACGAACUGAUGGCGAGUGGCGGACGGGUGAGAAACGCGUAGGAAUCUGCCUUGUAGAGGGGGACAACUGGAGGAAACUCCAGCUAAUACCGCAUAAAGUCGAGAGACCAAAGGCUGGGGCAACCUGGCGCUAUGAGAGGAGCCUGCGUCCGAUUAGCUAGUUGGUAGGGUAAAGGCCUACCAAGGCGAUGAUCGGUAGCUGGUCUGAGAGGAUGAUCAGCCACACUGGGACUGAGACACGGCCCAGACUCCUACGGGAGGCAGCAGUGGGGAAUAUUGGACAAUGGGGGGCAACCCUGAUCCAGCAAUACCGCGUGUGUGAAGAAGGCCUUCGGGUUGUAAAGCACUUUAGGUUGGGAAGAAGGUGCGUAGUUUAAGAGAUGACGCAUUUGACGGUACCGACAGAAUAAGCACCGGCUAACUCUGUGCCAGCAGCCGCGGUAAUACAGAGGGUGCAAGCGUUAAUCGGAGUUACUGGGCGUAAAGGGCGCGUAGGUGGUUGUUUAAGUGAGACGUGAAAGCCCCGGGCUUAACCUGGGAACGGCGUCUUAUACUGGAUGACUGGAGUACUGUAGAGGGUAGUGGAAUUUCCGGUGUAGCAGUGAAAUGCGUAGAGAUCGGAAGGAACACCAGUGGCGAAGGCGGCUACCUGGACAGAUACUGACACUGAGGCGCGAAAGCGUGGGGAGCAAACA
Molecule: ribosomal RNA, 719 nt
Filed under: uncultured Gammaproteobacteria bacterium
Lineage: Bacteria; Pseudomonadati; Pseudomonadota; Gammaproteobacteria
Description: bacterial SSU rRNA
Rfam family: Bacterial small subunit ribosomal RNA
Source: RNAcentral